RNAcentral lists this transfer RNA (77 nucleotides) under Microbacteriaceae bacterium. Its description in RNAcentral is "tRNA-Val". It matches the Rfam family "tRNA". From Rfam's summary of the family: Transfer RNA (tRNA) molecules are approximately 80 nucleotides in length. Their secondary structure includes four short double-helical elements and three loops (D, anti-codon, and T loops). Further hydrogen bonds mediate the characteristic L-shaped molecular structure. tRNAs have two regions of fundamental functional importance: the anti-codon, which is responsible for specific mRNA codon recognition, and the 3' end, to which the tRNAs corresponding amino acid is attached (by aminoacyl-tRNA synthetases). tRNAs cope with the degeneracy of the genetic code in two manners: having more than one tRNA (with a specific anti-codon) for a particular amino acid; and 'wobble' base-pairing, i.e. permitting non-standard base-pairing at the 3rd anti-codon position. The record is from RNAcentral. Lineage: Bacteria; Bacillati; Actinomycetota; Actinomycetes; Micrococcales; Microbacteriaceae.
GCGCCUGUAGCUCAGUUGGUUAGAGCACUUGGUUUACACCCAGGGGGUCGGGAGUUCGAGUCUCUCCGGGCGCACCA